AUUGAACGCUGGCGGCAUGCUUUACACAUGCAAGUCGAACGGUAACAGGCCGCAAGGUGCUGACGAGUGGCGAACGGGUGAGUAAUGCAUCGGAACGUGCCCAGUCGUGGGGGAUAACUACUCGAAAGAGUAGCUAAUACCGCAUACGAUCUAUGGAUGAAAGCGGGGGACCGUAAGGCCUCGCGCGAUUGGAGCGGCCGAUGUCAGAUUAGGUAGUUGGUGGGGUAAAGGCUCACCAGGCCAACGAUCUGUAGCUGGUCUGAGGGACGACCAGCCACACUGGGACUGAGACACGGCCCAGACUCCUACGGGAGGCAGCAGUGGGGAAUUUUGGACAAUGGGCGCAAGCCUGAUCCAGCAAUGCCGCGUGCAGGAAGAAGGCCUUCGGGUUGUAAACUGCUUUUGUACGGAACGAAACGGCUCUGGUUAAUACCCGGGGCUAAUGACGGUACCGUAAGAAUAAGCACCGGCUAACUACGUG
RNAcentral lists this ribosomal RNA (481 nucleotides) under uncultured bacterium. RNAcentral's name for it is "partial 16S ribosomal RNA". It matches the Rfam family "Bacterial small subunit ribosomal RNA", at positions 30 to 507 of the family's 1533-position model. The record is from RNAcentral.